This 301-nucleotide ribosomal RNA is filed under the name uncultured bacterium. RNAcentral's name for it is "partial 16S ribosomal RNA". It matches the Rfam family "Bacterial small subunit ribosomal RNA", at positions 509 to 807 of the family's 1533-position model. The record is from RNAcentral.
CAGUAGCCACGGGAAUACAGAGGGUGCAAGCGUUAAUCGGAAUUACUGGGCGUAAAGCGCGCGUAGGUGGUUUGUUAAGUUGAAUGUGAAAUCCCCGGGCUCAACCUGGGAACUGCAUCCAAAACUGGCAAGCUAGAGUAGGGCAGAGGGUGGUGGAAUUUCCUGUGUAGCGGUGAAAUGCGUAGAUAUAGGAAGGAACACCAGUGGCGAAGGCGACCACCUGGGCUCAUACUGACACUGAGGUGCGAAAGCGUGGGGAGCAAACAGGAUUAGAUACCCGCGUAGUCCCUGUCUCUUAUAC